RNAcentral lists this ribosomal RNA (111 nucleotides) under Mustela putorius furo (domestic ferret). The record is from RNAcentral. Lineage: Eukaryota; Metazoa; Chordata; Mammalia; Carnivora; Mustelidae.
GUCUAUGGCCAUACCACCCUGAACACGCCUGAUCUUGUCUGAUCCCAGAAGCUAAGCAGGGUCGGGCCUGGUUAGUACUUAGAUGGGAGAAGCAUUUAGCCAGUAUGUACA